RNAcentral lists this ribosomal RNA (220 nucleotides) under uncultured fungus. RNAcentral describes it as "partial 18S ribosomal RNA". It matches the Rfam family "Eukaryotic small subunit ribosomal RNA", at positions 659 to 869 of the family's 1831-position model. Lineage: Eukaryota; Fungi. The record is from RNAcentral.
GGAUCAGUAGGUCGGUCAUGCCACUGGUAUGUACUGAUCUUACUGAUUCCUCCUUCCUAAUGAAUCGCAAUGCCAUUAAUUUGGUGUUGCGGGGAGACUGGACUGUUACUUUGAAAAAUUAGAGUGUUUAAAGCAGGCUAACGCUUGAAUACAUUAGCAUGGAAUAAUGAAAUAGGACGUUCGGUCCUAUUUUGUUGGUUUCUAGGAUAGACGUAAUGAU